GUGUCAGCCGCCGCGGUAAGACGAACCGAGCGAACGUUGUUCGGAAUCACUGGGCUUAAAGGGCGCGUAGGCGGCCUGGUCAGUCAGGGGUGAAAUCUUUCGGCUUAACCGGAAAAGUGCCUUUGAUACUACCAGGCUUGAGGGAGAUAGGGGCGUGUGGAACUUCCAGUGGAGCGGUGAAAUGCGUUGAUAUUGGAAGGAACGCCGGUGGCGAAAGCGACACGCUGGGUCUCUUCUGACGCUGAGGCGCGAAAGCUAGGGGAGCGAACGGGAUUAGAAACCCUGGUAGUCC
Molecule: ribosomal RNA, 292 nt
Filed under: uncultured bacterium
Lineage: Bacteria
Description: partial 16S ribosomal RNA
Rfam family: Bacterial small subunit ribosomal RNA
Source: RNAcentral